RNAcentral lists this ribosomal RNA (268 nucleotides) under uncultured bacterium. RNAcentral's name for it is "partial 16S ribosomal RNA". It matches the Rfam family "Bacterial small subunit ribosomal RNA", at positions 523 to 776 of the family's 1533-position model. The record is from RNAcentral.
UAGCAGAGGGUGCGAGCGUUGUUCGGAAUUAUUGGGCGUAAAGGGCGGCGUAGGCGGUGCGGAUAAGUCGACCUGAUGAAAAUCGUCCUUGGCUCAACUGGAGCUUGCAGGGCGAAACUGCCGUGCUGGAGUGUGGGAGAGGUGACGUGGAAUUCCUGGUGUAGCGGUGGAAAAUGCGUAGAUAGUCAGGAGGAACACCUGUGGCGAAAGCGGCGCACUGGGACCAACAACUGACGCUGAGGCGACGAAAGCUAGGGGAGCAAACAGG